UCUAAUUGACCCACUGAAAAUGUUGCACAUACAGUUGAUGACAAUUCUACAUGACAGAUUCUGCAAAGGCAAAAUGAAAUAUCUGAGCUGCUCAUACAACCACACAGAGAAAGCCAACUGCCACCAAGACAAAUACCUGUUUUUGAAGGUGACCCACUGAAGUUCUAAAUGUCCAUGCAAGCCUUUAGGCACUGUGUAGGAGAAAGCUGCAUCUGAAGGUGAUUGCAUGUAUUAUUUGGAAAGGUACACCAGAGGGCGCCCACACGACCUUGUACAAAGCUGUUUACAUAUGAGUGCAGAGAGGUUUUGAAACAGCUAAAGCCCUCCUACAGGAACACUUCGGUAAUGAAACAAAGAUCACAGCAGCAUAUAUGGAAAAGGUUCUCAACUGGCCUGGGGUAAAGGCUGAAAGUGUUUAGUUACUGCAGGACUAUGCAUUAUUUUUAUGUGGAUGCAAUAAUGCAAUGUCAGAUUUAGAGGACAUGAAAGAGCUGGACAUGUCUGCCAACCUGAAAAUUGUUGUUUCAAAACUUCCAUUUAAAUUAAGGAAAAAAUGUUUACAUUCUGCAUGUGAUAUUUGGGAGAGACACAACCGCAGACCAAACCUUUAUGACGUUGUACACUUUGUGGAAUAUCAAGUCAAAAUCUUGUUUGAUCCUAUUUUUGGUGAUGUCCAAACUACUGAAAGGGUUAUGCAUGUUAAAAGGGAUGUGUAUACAGCAAAAUCUAAGUUGAAGCGAGACAACUUUGCUACAAACGUCUGCGCUGUUAGCAAAGUGCAACACAAGGACACACAAGAUGAUAAACGUAAGGACAAUAUCUGCAGCAAUUGUUUAUUCUGUUUACAAGAGCACAGUAUGGAUGAAUGUCAAUGAUUUGCCAAGAACAAACAUCAUGAAAAGAUCAACUUCUUAAAGGAAAAAGGAGUUUGCUUUGGGUGUCUCAACACUGGUCAUUUGAACAAAAAUUUUGAUAAGCGCAAAAAACCUGUGAAAAAUGCAAACGGAGCCAUCCAACAGCUUUACACAUUCAUGCAUAGGCUUAAUCUCACUGGGACAAAGUCAAUGGAACAAGGUACUACAGUCUUCCAAAUGUUUACACACAGAAAACAAUGCCAUUGAAUACAGCAAACAUCAUCAAACAAGAAGACCUUAAACAGUGGCCUUACCUUGAGCACAAUGAAAUCCCUGAAAUUGAUGCCAGCGUGGAGUUAUUAAUAAGUACUAAUGCUUCAAAGUUGGUAAAUUGUGAAUAGCCAAGGUGAGGGUCCCUUUGCUGUUAAAACCCUAUUAGGGUGGGUGAUCAAUGGCUUAGAAAAGGAUUGCGAAGACAACAUGAAUGACAGAUUAUCUGUGGAAUCACUUCAGCUGCUAUUGGAGAAGCAGUACCAAAAUGACUUCAAUGACAAAAUCACCGACGACAAAGAAGAAAUGUCAAGACAGAAGGCAAGAUUCAUUGAAAUAAUGGAACAAUCUGUAAACUUAAAGGACGGACAUAACAGUUUAAAGCUGACAUUCAAAGCCCAGAGGUAACACUGCCAAACAAUCAGAUCAACGGUGCCUCAUUGGACAAAGAAAUGAGAAGUUCCACCAAGAAUACACAAACUUUCUUGAGGAUGAUCCAGUGGAAGAAGAUGAUCCAGAGGUCAAACUGGAGAUCUCUACAAACACAGUAACUAUUCAAGAGGAUAAUGCAACCCAUCAACUCACACAUAGUUGCAAGGUUGCUCAAGGUCAAAAAGACUCUAUUGGAGUUGAGUCGAAGAAGAAAGCAACUUGUGAUGGUUGAAAUGGCUGAUCUUUGUUAUGUUGACAAGAAAAUGUUGGAAGCCAGAAAGUUGUUGGGACGAGACAGUGUAUCAACUGAGGAUCUAUUGGCAGCAGAAAACGCUAUCCUUCAGUUCUGUCAGAGGGAAAGAUUUGACAAAGAGAUUUGUGCAGGACAAGGACAGGAAAACUUGUAAAAAAGUGUAGUCCUAUCUACAAACUGAAUCCUGUCCUAGAGGAUGGACUGUUAAGAGUAGGUGGAAGAUUAUCCAGGACUGCAAUGCCCGAAGAGGGCAAACACCCAGUCAUCCUGUGUAAAGAUCAGUACAUCUCCAUGUUAAUUCUUAAAAAUGUUCAUGAACAGAUGAGGCAUGGUGGGAGAAAUUACAUCCUCUCCAAAUUGAGAGAAAGGUUCUGGGUCACUCAUGCCAAUGCAGCAGUAAGGAAAAUCUUGUCAAGUUGUGCUUUCUGCAAGUGUCACAAAGGAAAAAUGUGUGAUCAAAAAUGGCUGAUCUCCCCAAAGAAAGGAUUACUCCAGACUUACCUCCAUUUACUAAUGUGGGAGUGGACUAUUUUGGGCCCAUUGAGGUAAAACAAGGAUGUUCCUAUGUGAAAUGUUAUGGUGUUAUCUUUACAUGCAUGGCCAGCAGGGCAGGUCAUUUAGAAGUAGCACACUCAGUGGACACAGACUCUUGCAUCAGUAAGGGUAAUCUUACAGCAGGAGAUAUCGUUUUGGUUGCAGAUGCUAUAGCACCACGAAAUUCUUGGAUGACUGGAAUAAUUAUUAAAUCAUUUCCAGAUAAAUCUGGCAUAGUCAGAUCUGUGCAAAUCAAAACCAAAACAAACGUAAUUGAAAGAACAAUGUAAAAGUGAACAAACGCACCAAAGUGUCACGCCGCCCCAAGCAGGGAGGUGACAGCUGUGUGUUGUGUGCUUGUUUUGAGUUAUUUUUUCCCCUUUUGGAGUGUGUGAAAGGUGCUUGGUGGGUUUUGGUUUUGUCUGUCUUCCUGUGGCGUUCCCCCUCUCUCUCUCCCUCUCCUUCAGGGCGGAUGUUGUGGGCCGGGCCCCUGAGAGCUGGGCGUCUUCCUCCAGCUGCAGGCAAUUACUCCUUACACACCUGUUUCCCAUUUUCAUCUGAACCGGUUCUUCUUUCUUCUGAACCCUGCCAUCUCCUCAGUUCCCCGCCGGAUUAUUAGUGGUAUAGUAGAGUCCGUGGAGACCCCGCUCUACCCUGGAAGUCUCGCCGUUUCCCGCCUGCCUAGUUACUCGUCCUGCCUGGCCUACCUCAUUCUGUCUCGCCGCAUCUGUCUACCUUUUUCUUGUGUUCAAUAAACUGCUUCCUACCCUCCUGAACCGUGUCUCUGCCUGCAUUUGGGUUCGAGCCACGUGAAGUCCUGACACAAAGAGGGCUUUAUUUGGUUAUUUUUAUUGUAAGAUAUUUUUUGUUGUAUUGUCUCCAUACAUGUAUAUGUUUAAUUGUUAUGUCUUGUAGUACCAUGAACAAUUAGGGGCCGGUUGUGUUGGAGCCAUUCUGUAUAUUGGGAUGGGGUGGUGCUGUGUUCUGCUACAAGUCUACUUAAGACAGGUGUUGAUUAGUGCAGGUGUGGCACACAGCAAGGUGCAUGGUUUUUGACCGUGAGGCACGGCGUGUAAUCAUGGAGACUGACUUGAGUUAAGUUUAUUAUUUAAGAAAUGUUUAAUUUAUUGUUAUGUUAAUAAAUGGAUUGGCGUAUCCGACUUUAA
Long non-coding RNA from Micropterus salmoides (largemouth bass), 3509 nucleotides. RefSeq lists it as uncharacterized. The record is from RefSeq and is a predicted model, not a curated record. The transcript has 2 exons. NCBI's taxonomy places the organism in Eukaryota, Metazoa, Chordata, Actinopteri, Centrarchiformes, Centrarchidae.